Long non-coding RNA from Zea mays, 365 nucleotides. RefSeq lists it as uncharacterized. The record is from RefSeq and is a predicted model, not a curated record. The transcript is spliced from 3 exons. Lineage: Eukaryota; Viridiplantae; Streptophyta; Magnoliopsida; Poales; Poaceae.
AGGAGGCACAACUUGAUGGCAAUGUAGUCACAGAUUUGCCAAGUGAUCCUAUAUUGCACAACAUGAGAACUCGAAGGGUUCAAGCUGCCAGCAUGGGCAUAUCAGAAUCAAGACAAAAGCAAGUCUACCUUAUUUCACUGAUAAACAAAGGCAGAGUUGUGGCCAAAGGGAAGUUAGUGACUACAGAUAGCCAAAGAGAAAUAUUAGGAGCAAAGCUUGGACUAGAAUAUUGUGGGGUUCUUGUUGAAGGCCUUGAAAAUAUUGAACUUGGAAAUAUUAUAUAUGAGGAGGUACCUAGACCAUCUAAUCAGAUUCGUACACUAAUUGAUGCUAUUAGCUAUGUUAUUCCUUGGCCAAUUACACAU